GGACUACACGGGUAUCUAAUCCUGUUUGCUCCCCUAGCUUUCGUGCCUCAGCGUCAGGAGUUGUCUAGGGACUCGCCUUCGCCACUGGUGUUCCUCUCGAUAUCUACGCAUUUCACUGCUACACCGAGAAUUCCAGUCCCCCCUCCAACCCUCUAGCCGAAUAGUAUCCAAUGCCAUUUCGGAGUUAAGCUCCGAGCUUUCACAUCAGACUUACCCGACCACCUACGCACCCUUUACGCCCAGUGAAUCCGAACAACGCUCGGGACCUCUGUAUUACCGCGGCUGCUGGCAC
This 292-nucleotide ribosomal RNA is filed under the name uncultured Verrucomicrobiota bacterium. Its description in RNAcentral is "uncultured Verrucomicrobia bacterium partial 16S ribosomal RNA". The record is from RNAcentral. Lineage: Bacteria; Pseudomonadati; Verrucomicrobiota.